GUUAAAGGGUCAAGUGGCAAGUGAUGAGAAAGACUUCUAUCUGAGACCCUGCCAAUCUGAAUAAUGAAUACUGAAAGCUCGAUGGACUAAUAGUCUGACUCAGUACAGGGCAGUUUCACCUCUUGAUAUAGAAAAGGCUGUGAUCUGCAAAGAGAGUUCUGGUGAAACAAUUAUUCCUGUUUCCAUGCAAAACAGCAGUCACUACACUACCUACUAGCUCAAGAUCCACCCGCCAAAAAGCCUUCUGAAGUAGCUUUUGUGUAGUAAAGCAACACAACAGGAAGAGUCUUAUGAACAAUCAUACAGACAAAAGGCACUGGCCACUGAUGCGGAAGCCUUGAUAAAUUGUUGAUGAAGGCCCAUUUUCUGUCCUAAGAACACUUUCUUAACUUAUUUGAUCAGUUCCACACAAGUGCCUCAUUUUCUCUCACACAUCCUUAUGUCACAAAAAACUGACACUACACUGACGCCAGCGACGAUGAUGAU
Hemicordylus capensis (graceful crag lizard) is the source of this 486-nucleotide long non-coding RNA. RefSeq lists it as uncharacterized. The transcript has 4 exons. NCBI's taxonomy places the organism in Eukaryota, Metazoa, Chordata, Lepidosauria, Squamata, Cordylidae. The record is from RefSeq and is a predicted model, not a curated record.